This 512-nucleotide ribosomal RNA is filed under the name uncultured bacterium. Its description in RNAcentral is "partial 16S ribosomal RNA". It matches the Rfam family "Bacterial small subunit ribosomal RNA", at positions 28 to 507 of the family's 1533-position model. The record is from RNAcentral.
GAUGAACGCUGGCGGCGUGCCUAAUACAUGCAAGUCGAACGAAACUUCUUUAUCACCGAGUGCUUGCACUCACCGAUAAAGAGUUGAGUGGCGAACGGGUGAGUAACACGUGGGCAACCUGCCCAAAAGAGGGGGAUUAACAUUGGGAAAAAGGUCUAAUACCCCCUAACCAUAAUUUACGCAAUGUAAAUAUGUAAAAAGUGGGUUAUAUACCCCCUUUGGAUUGGCCCGCGGCGCAUUAGCUAGUUGGUAGGGUAAAGGCUUACCAAGGCAAUGAUGCGUAGCCGAAUUGAGAGGUUGAUCGGCCACAUUGGGACUGAGACACGGCCCAAACUCCUACGGGAGGCAGCAGUAGGGAAUCUUCCACAAUGGGCGAAAGCCUGAUGGAGCAACGCCGCGUGGGUGAAGAAGGUCUUCGGAUCGUAAAACCCUGUUGUUAGAGAAGAAAGUGCGUGAGAGUAACUGUUCACGUUUCGACGGUAUCUAACCAGAAAGCCACUGCUAACUACGUG